RNAcentral lists this ribosomal RNA (495 nucleotides) under uncultured bacterium. RNAcentral describes it as "partial 16S ribosomal RNA". It matches the Rfam family "Bacterial small subunit ribosomal RNA", at positions 28 to 523 of the family's 1533-position model. The record is from RNAcentral.
GAUGAACGCUAGCGGGAGGCCUAACACAUGCAAGCCGAGCGGUAUUGUUUCUUCGGAAAUGAGAGAGCGGCGUACGGGUGCGUAACACGUGUGCAACCUGCCUUUAUCUGGGGGAUAGCCUUUCGAAAGGAAGAUUAAUACUCCAUAAUAUAUUGAAAGGCAUCGUUUAAUAUUUAAAGCUACGGCGGAUAGAGAUGGGCACGCGCAAGAUUAGCUAGUUGGUGAGGUAACGGCUCACCAAGGCGAUGAUCUUUAGGGGGCCUGAGAGGGUGAUCCCCCACACUGGUACUGAGACACGGACCAGACUCCUACGGGAGGCAGCAGUGAGGAAUAUUGGUCAAUGGGUGCAAGCCUGAACCAGCCAUCCCGCGUGAAGGACGACUGCCCUAUGGGUUGUAAACUUCUUUUGUAUAGGGAUAAACCUACCCUCGUGAGGGUAGCUGAAGGUACUAUACGAAUAAGCACCGGCUAACUCCGUGCCAGCCGCCGCCGUAA